ACGGGUGAGUAACACGUAGGCAACCUGCCCACCAGACGGGGAUAACGACCGGAAACGGUAGCUAAUACCGGAUAGAUCCUGUCGCCGCAUGGCGAGAGGAAGAAAGGCGGCUUGGGCUGUCGUUGGUGGAAGGGCCUGCGGCGCAUUAGCUAGUUGGUAGAGUAACGGCCUACCAAGGCGACGAUGCGUAGCCGACCUGAGAGGGUGAACGGCCACACUGGGACUGAGACACGGCCCAGACUCCUACGGGAGGCAGCAGUAGGGAAUCUUCCGCAAUGGGCGCAAGCCUGACGGAGCAACGCCGCGUGAGUGAAGAGGGUUUUCGGAUCGUAAAGCUCUGUUGCCAGGGAAGAACGACUUUUGGAGGAACUGCCAGAAGAGUGACGGUACCUGAGAAGAAAGCCCCGGCUAACUACGUGCCAGCAGCCGCGGUAAUACGUAGGGGGCAAGCGUUGUCCGGAAUUAUUGGGCGUAAAGCGCGCGCAGGCGGCCGUUUAAGUCCGGUGUAUAAGCCCGGGGCUCAACCCCGGAUCGCACGGGAAACUGGAGGGCUUGAGAACAGCAGAGGAGAGUGGAA
RNAcentral lists this ribosomal RNA (577 nucleotides) under uncultured bacterium. Its description in RNAcentral is "bacterial SSU rRNA". It matches the Rfam family "Bacterial small subunit ribosomal RNA", at positions 102 to 666 of the family's 1533-position model. The record is from RNAcentral.